Molecule: microRNA precursor, 85 nt
Filed under: Caenorhabditis japonica
Lineage: Eukaryota; Metazoa; Nematoda; Chromadorea; Rhabditida; Rhabditidae
Description: pre miRNA CJA48952
Source: RNAcentral
ACGCGCCCAAUUACCUGAUCCGCUGUCGCUAAAGUUUUUCAAAACUGAAACUUUGGCACUUCGCAGAUACGGUAAUAGGGGUUGA